Molecule: ribosomal RNA, 40 nt
Filed under: Russula maculata
Lineage: Eukaryota; Fungi; Basidiomycota; Agaricomycetes; Russulales; Russulaceae
Description: partial 28S ribosomal RNA
Source: RNAcentral
UUGACCUCAAAUCGGGUGAACUACCCGCUGAACUUAAGCA